This 446-nucleotide ribosomal RNA is filed under the name uncultured bacterium. RNAcentral describes it as "bacterial SSU rRNA". It matches the Rfam family "Bacterial small subunit ribosomal RNA", at positions 329 to 792 of the family's 1533-position model. The record is from RNAcentral.
UUCCAGACUCCUACGGGAGGCAGCAGUGGGGAAUAUUGCACAAUGGGGGAAACCCUGAUGCAGCGACGCCGCGUGAGUGAAGAAGUAUCUCGGUACGUAAAGCUCUCUCAGCAGGGAAGAAAAUGACGGUACCUGACUAAGAAGCCCCGGCUAACUACGUGCCAGCAGCCGCGGUAAUACGUAGGGGGCAAGCGUUAUCCGGAAUCACUGGGUGUAAAGGGAGCGUAGACGGCUGUGCAAGCCUGAAGUGAAAGGCGGGGGCCCAACCCCUGGACUGCUUUGGGAACUGUACGGCUGGAGUGCAGGAGAGGUAAGUGGAAUUCCUAGUGUAGCGGUGAAAUGCGUAGAUAUUAGGAGGAACACCAGUGGCGAAGGCGGCUUACUGGACUGUAACUGACGUUGAGGCUCGAAAGCGUGGGGAGCAAACAGGAUUAGAUACCCCCGUA